This 1576-nucleotide ribosomal RNA is filed under the name Lactiplantibacillus plantarum subsp. plantarum. RNAcentral describes it as "Lactobacillus plantarum subsp. plantarum 16S ribosomal RNA". It matches the Rfam family "Bacterial small subunit ribosomal RNA". The record is from RNAcentral. Lineage: Bacteria; Bacillati; Bacillota; Bacilli; Lactobacillales; Lactobacillaceae.
UUAAUUUGAGAGUUUGAUCCUGGCUCAGGACGAACGCUGGCGGCGUGCCUAAUACAUGCAAGUCGAACGAACUCUGGUAUUGAUUGGUGCUUGCAUCAUGAUUUACAUUUGAGUGAGUGGCGAACUGGUGAGUAACACGUGGGAAACCUGCCCAGAAGCGGGGGAUAACACCUGGAAACAGAUGCUAAUACCGCAUAACAACUUGGACCGCAUGGUCCGAGCUUGAAAGAUGGCUUCGGCUAUCACUUUUGGAUGGUCCCGCGGCGUAUUAGCUAGAUGGUGAGGUAACGGCUCACCAUGGCAAUGAUACGUAGCCGACCUGAGAGGGUAAUCGGCCACAUUGGGACUGAGACACGGCCCAAACUCCUACGGGAGGCAGCAGUAGGGAAUCUUCCACAAUGGACGAAAGUCUGAUGGAGCAACGCCGCGUGAGUGAAGAAGGGUUUCGGCUCGUAAAACUCUGUUGUUAAAGAAGAACAUAUCUGAGAGUAACUGUUCAGGUAUUGACGGUAUUUAACCAGAAAGCCACGGCUAACUACGUGCCAGCAGCCGCGGUAAUACGUAGGUGGCGAGCGUUGUCCGGAUUUAUUGGGCGUAAAGCGAGCGCAGGCGGUUUUUUAAGUCUGAUGUGAAAGCCUUCGGCUCAACCGAAGAAGUGCAUCGGAAACUGGGAAACUUGAGUGCAGAAGAGGACAGUGGAACUCCAUGUGUAGCGGUGAAAUGCGUAGAUAUAUGGAAGAACACCAGUGGCGAAGGCGGCUGUCUGGUCUGUAACUGACGCUGAGGCUCGAAAGUAUGGGUAGCAAACAGGAUUAGAUACCCUGGUAGUCCAUACCGUAAACGAUGAAUGCUAAGUGUUGGAGGGUUUCCGCCCUUCAGUGCUGCAGCUAACGCAUUAAGCAUUCCGCCUGGGGAGUACGGCCGCAAGGCUGAAACUCAAAGGAAUUGACGGGGGCCCGCACAAGCGGUGGAGCAUGUGGUUUAAUUCGAAGCUACGCGAAGAACCUUACCAGGUCUUGACAUACUAUGCAAAUCUAAGAGAUUAGACGUUCCCUUCGGGGACAUGGAUACAGGUGGUGCAUGGUUGUCGUCAGCUCGUGUCGUGAGAUGUUGGGUUAAGUCCCGCAACGAGCGCAACCCUUAUUAUCAGUUGCCAGCAUUAAGUUGGGCACUCUGGUGAGACUGCCGGUGACAAACCGGAGGAAGGUGGGGAUGACGUCAAAUCAUCAUGCCCCUUAUGACCUGGGCUACACACGUGCUACAAUGGAUGGUACAACGAGUUGCGAACUCGCGAGAGUAAGCUAAUCUCUUAAAGCCAUUCUCAGUUCGGAUUGUAGGCUGCAACUCGCCUACAUGAAGUCGGAAUCGCUAGUAAUCGCGGAUCAGCAUGCCGCGGUGAAUACGUUCCCGGGCCUUGUACACACCGCCCGUCACACCAUGAGAGUUUGUAACACCCAAAGUCGGUGGGGUAACCUUUUAGGAACCAGCCGCCUAAGGUGGGACAGAUGAUUAGGGUGAAGUCGUAACAAGGUAGCCGUAGGAGAACCUGCGGCUGGAUCACCUCCUUUCUAAGGAA